AUACUUGAUCAGGUUGAAGUCAGGGGAAACCCUGAUGGAAGACCGAAACAGUUCUGACGUGCAAAUCGAUUGUCAGAAUUGAGUAUAGGGGCGAAAGACCAAUCGAACCAUCUAGUAGCUGGUUCCUUCCGAAGUUUCCCUCAGGAUAGCUGGUGCAUUUUAAUAUUAUAUAAAAUAAUCUUAUCUGGUAAAGCGAAUGAUUAGAGGCCUUAGGGUCGAAACGAUCUUAACCUAUUCUCAAACUUUAAAUGGGUAAGAACCUUAACUUUCUUGAUAUGAAGUUCAAGGUUAUGAUAUAAUGUGCCCAGUGGGCCACUUUUGGUAAGCAGAACUGGCGCUGUGGGAUGAACCAAACGUAAUGUUACGGUGCCCAAAUUAACAACUCAUGCAGAUACCAUGAAAGGCGUUGGUUGCUUAAAACAGCAGGACGGUGAUCAUGGAAGUCGAAAUCCGCUAAGGAGUGUGUAACAACUCACCUGCCGAAGCAACUAGCCCUUAAAAUGGAUGGCGCUUAAGUUGUAUACCUAUACAUUACCGCUAAAGUAGAUGAUUUAUAUUACUUGUGAUAUAAAUUUUGAAACUUUAGUGAGUAGGAAGGUACAAUGGUAUGCGUAGAAGUGUUUGGCGUAAGCCUGCAUGGAGCUGCCAUUGGUACAGAUCUUGGUGGUAGUAGCAAAUAAUCGAAUGAGACCUUGGAGGACUGAAGUGGAGAAGGGUUUCGUGUGAACAGUGGUUGAUCACGAGUUAGUCGGUCCUAAGUUCAAGGCGAAAGCCGAAAAUUUUCAAGUAAAACAAAAAUGCCUAACUAUAUAAACAAAGCGAAAAUAAUACACUUGAAUAAAUUUUGAACGAAAGGGGAAUACGGGUUCCAUUUCGGUACCCGGUUGAGUAUCCGUUUUGUAUUAAAUAUGGGGCCUCGUGCCCCUCCCGGGAACAAGGAACCACCAUAAAAAAACCGUUCCAAAAAAAUUCGAAAAAAUUUUUUUUUU
Molecule: non-coding RNA, 989 nt
Filed under: Drosophila simulans
Lineage: Eukaryota; Metazoa; Arthropoda; Insecta; Diptera; Drosophilidae
Description: Eukaryotic large subunit ribosomal RNA
Rfam family: Eukaryotic large subunit ribosomal RNA
Source: Rfam by way of RNAcentral